AUCAUUUCGUGGUUUAGAUUCAGGGGUUUUGAGGCAUUCCAUCUUUAUCUGUAAUUUCAAUUUGUUCCGUUCAAUUUCAGCCUUCCGCGUACAAAUCAAAUAGAUCGGUAUUUCCCAUAUCUCUUACUCUAUUGUUGUGUUUUCCGGUGAAACUCAAAUAAUCACCGGCCAAGUUCAUAUCAGCUGGUAUCAGUUUCCGGGUUUCGUAAGGG
RNAcentral lists this long non-coding RNA (212 nucleotides) under Salvia miltiorrhiza (redroot sage). Its description in RNAcentral is "long non-coding RNA (SMIL_LNC012890)". The record is from RNAcentral. Lineage: Eukaryota; Viridiplantae; Streptophyta; Magnoliopsida; Lamiales; Lamiaceae.